CCACGAAAGCACCUAUGGCAAUACUUUAUGGGGAAAUAUCUAUUGCUAACGAUUAUUUAAUUCCUCCUAAAUAUUUUCAGAAGUCCGCCAAUUCUUUUCACAAGACUGGCAUUUAUUUUCCUCAAUCCCUUCGACUCCUCACCGUUAUCUCUCUGUCUACAAUCUUUUAAAUCCAGCGUCCGGUUAGCCGUAAAGCAUUCUGUCUCGGUCAACUUGUGGUUGUGAGAUGCUUGAUAAGGAAGGGUCUGGACAGGGACCAGAGAAUGAGGACGUGGAAGUGUUUGCUGAUGUUGAUGGUAAUGAAUUGGAUGAGCUAAUGCAGAAGCCGAAAAAAAUGGUGGAAUUUUGGUAUUACAGAGUGAAGGCGGAUGAUUAAAAGAUUUACGGUUCGGCAUCGAGUAGGAGUAUGAAGUGGGAGAUGAUUCUGCAAGCUUCAGUCUCUCUAGAAUUACUGAGUGUAUUUAAAAUAAUAUGAUGCAUAUUAUCAUCAGUCCUGGGAAAAGUUUAAUUUGGGAUGUAAGUAUUAUUCCUACCCUUCGAUUUGAUCUUUCUCCUCUUCAUUUAUAGAGUAAUUUUAAGGAUGAUUUCGAAUAAUUACUGUGUUAAAAUUCUAAACCAUCUUCUUGAGUACUUAAGUUUUUUUAAGAAUC
Molecule: long non-coding RNA, 650 nt
Organism: Capsicum annuum
Lineage: Eukaryota; Viridiplantae; Streptophyta; Magnoliopsida; Solanales; Solanaceae
Exons: 4
Source: RefSeq, a predicted model, not a curated record